Molecule: ribosomal RNA, 447 nt
Filed under: uncultured bacterium
Lineage: Bacteria
Description: partial 16S ribosomal RNA
Rfam family: Bacterial small subunit ribosomal RNA
Source: RNAcentral
AACGAACGCUGGCGGCAGGCUUAACACAUGCAAGUCGAACGCCCCGCAAGGGGAGUGGCAGACGGGUGAGUAACGCGUGGGAAUCUACCCAGAUCUUCGGAACAACACAGGGAAACUUGUACUAAUACCGGAUACGCCCUACGGGGGAAAGAUUUAUCGGAUUUGGAUGGGCCCGCGUUGGAUUAGCUAGUUGGUGAGGUAAUGGCUCACCAAGGCUACGAUCCAUAGCUGGUCUGAGAGGAUGUUCAGCCACACUGGGACUGAGACACGGCCCAGACUCCUACGGGAGGCAGCAGUGGGGAAUAUUGGACAAUGGGCGAAAGCCUGAUCCAGCCAUGCCGCGUGAGUGAUGAAGGCCUUAGGGUUGUAAAGCUCCUUUAGUGGGGAAGAUAAUGACGGUACCCACAGAAAAAGCCCCGGCUAACUUCGUGCCAGCCGCCGCGGUAA